AUUGAACGCUGGCGGCAGGCUUAACACAUGCAAGUCGAGCGGGGUGAUGGUGCUUGCACUAUCACUUAGCGGCGGACGGGUGAGUAAUGCUUAGGAAUCUGCCUAUUAGUGGGGGACAACAUCUCGAAAGGGAUGCUAAUACCGCAUACGUCCUACGGGAGAAAGCAGGGGAUCACUUGUGACCUUGCGCUAAUAGAUGAGCCUAAGUCGGAUUAGCUAGUUGGUGGGGUAAAGGCCUACCAAGGCGACGAUCUGUAGCGGGUCUGAGAGGAUGAUCCGCCACACUGGGACUGAGACACGGCCCAGACUCCUACGGGAGGCAGCAGUGGGGAAUAUUGGACAAUGGGGGGAACCCUGAUCCAGCCAUGCCGCGUGUGUGAAGAAGGCCUUAUGGUUGUGAAGCACUUUAAGCGAGGAGGAGGCUCUUUUGGUUAAUACCCAAGAUGAAUGGACGUUACUCGCAGAAUAAGCACCGGCUAACUCUGUGCCAGCAGCCGCCGUAA
Molecule: ribosomal RNA, 503 nt
Filed under: uncultured bacterium
Lineage: Bacteria
Description: partial 16S ribosomal RNA
Rfam family: Bacterial small subunit ribosomal RNA
Source: RNAcentral